Caretta caretta (loggerhead turtle) is the source of this 8797-nucleotide RNA transcript. It is a transcript of the gene named forkhead box O3, with no coding region annotated. Lineage: Eukaryota; Metazoa; Chordata; Testudines; Cheloniidae. The record is from RefSeq and is a predicted model, not a curated record.
UAGCUUGGAAACUUGCCCCUCUGCUUGCGGCUUAGCUCAUCAGCCCUCCCAGUGGGCGGGGACAAGGCUGCUGUAUGGUUAGGUUGAGCCUCGCUGCGUGCGUCUAUAACUUUGUGUUGCUUGCUGCUGCUGGUGGUUAGGAGAAGGAAUGUGGAAGUCAGUAGAGUGCAGGGUGACAGGCUGGUCGGGCGAGCUGCAGCAGCAGCAUUAUUUCUCCCUGGCAGAUCAUUUGCUUUCCCCCUUCUGUUUACAGAGGUACCGUGCGGUUGUUUGCCUUCUCCUCCUUUGCCUUUAAAGGGAAGGCGACUAGAAGCCGAAGACGCAGCAGCCGGAGAAUCAGGAAACCAUGCGCCAGCACUGCUUUUUCCUCCUGUGAAUCUGGAUCUUUAUUUUUGCUGGAGAGGGUAGAGGUUGCUGCUGGUUCUUCCCCUUCCCUCCUUCCCCUGCCGAUGUGUCUUCCUCUGUCCCUUUUGCCAGUGUUUUUUAAAUGACUUGAGCGGAGGGGGGAAAAACUGUCAAGAUGGCAGCAGCAGGAGCAAGGAGGUUAUGAAUGUGGUGUUGAUGCUGGAACAAAACCCAUCCUCUUGGCAGCCCGACGGAGGGCUUAAAGCUUCUGGACCUGUUGGAAGACUGGUGAUUUGAUUUGUUUUUGUUUUGCUUUCCUCGCAAAAAGGGUAAAAAAUCCAGAGUGGCUUUUUCUUCCCCUGUUCGGUUGGUUGUGAAAUUUAGUUUUGUAUAUAUAUCUAUAGAUCUGUAUAUUUUUUGGAAAGUGGAAUGCAUAAGUACGGCAAAUGCUAGUGUGCGAUUGGAGGUACAUUAAGACUUCAGCUCCCUCUGGGGCGUUUUGAAGGAGGAAAAAGUCAUCAAUGUAAUUUGAAGGACCCCUCUCUCUUUCCCCCGGCCAGAGAGAGAAAAAGGGACACGUCUGCCAGAGCAGCCGGGAGCAGGCUUGGUGGUGUUGGAGGGGUCUCUCUCCGAUGGAUACAGCGUGAUUGCCAGUGGAGCGCUUCUGCAGCUGCAUGGAGUGAAACAUAAACAAACACACACCACUGAGCUGCACCAACUCCACUGCGUUUGGGCUGCCGCUGGCGCCAUCCCCCCACCCAUCGGGCUCAAGGGGCGCAUCUGGAACCUCUGGCCUUGCCUGAUCCCUUAUUGAUCGCCUUGUGAUUAUUAGUGGUAUUGUGUGUGUGUGUGUGUGCACUGUCUGCUGGGAGAGGGGGCGGGGGAAGGCAGGAGGCUGCAGGACUUUAAUGGAGAGUGGCAUGUUCACUCGCUCCCCCCUGCCUGGUAGGCACUGAUCCGCAGCGGCAGGAGGAGGACUGGGGUCCGGACCUGUCUAUCCCAUCGCAGCACCAGGAGCAGCAGCAGCGGGAGGAGGGGAAGCCAAGAUGGCAGAGGCGUCUCCCGCUGCCCCCCUCUCCCCCCUGGACGUGGAGCUGGACCCGGAGUUCGAGCCCCAGAGCCGGCCCCGCUCCUGCACUUGGCCCCUACAGAGGCCUGAGUUGCAGGCGAGCCCGGCCAAGCCCUCGGGGGAAGCGGCCGCGGACGCCGCCUCCAUGAUCCCCGAGGAGGAGGACGACGAGGAGGAAGGGGGCAGCUCGCCCAUGGCCAUCGGCAGUGGCGGCGGAGGGGAAGCGCUGGCCCCGGAGGAGGCGGCGCGGCUGCUGGCCCCGCUGUCCGGGGUCGGGACGGAGGGCUCGGGCCAGGCCCCCGGGGCAGCGGCCGCCGGGGGCAGCGGGCUGGGCGGCGGGCAGCCGGCGGCGGCGGCGGCGCCGCGGAAAUGCUCGUCCCGGCGGAACGCGUGGGGCAACCUGUCCUACGCCGACCUGAUCACCCGCGCCAUCGAGAGCGCCCCGGACAAGCGGCUCACCCUGUCCCAGAUCUACGACUGGAUGGUGCGCUGCGUGCCCUACUUCAAGGAUAAGGGCGACAGCAACAGCUCGGCCGGCUGGAAGAACUCAAUCCGGCAUAAUUUGUCACUUCACAGUCGAUUCAUCAGGGUACAGAAUGAAGGAACUGGGAAAAGCUCUUGGUGGAUGAUUAAUCCAGAUGGUGGAAAAGGUGGGAAGCCCCCCCGGAGACGUGCUGUUUCAAUGGACAAUAGCAACAAGUACACAAAGAGCAGAGGCCGAGCAGCUAAGAAAAAGGCAGCCCUGCAAGCUGCACAAGAAGCUAGCGAGGACAGCCCAUCUCAGCUUUCCAAGUGGCCAGGGAGCCCAACUUCCCGCAGCAGUGAUGAGCUGGAUGCUUGGACAGAUUUCCGCUCUCGUACAAAUUCAAAUGCCAGUACAAUAAGUGGCCGUUUGUCACCGAUAUUGGCGAGUACCGAACUCGAUGACGUUCAGGAUGAUGAUGCUCCACUUUCUCCAAUGCUGUACAAUAGUCCAUCAAGCAUGUCCCCAUCGGUAAAUAAACCAUGUACUGUUGAGUUGCCGAGGUUGACUGAUAUGGCAGGCACAAUGAACUUGAAUGAUGGACUGACAGAUAACCUCAUCAUGGAUGAUCUUUUGGACAAUAUAACGCUCCCCUCUCCCCAACAGUCACCAUCAGGGGGGCUCAUGCAAAGAAGCUCCAGUUUUCCAUAUGGUUCCAAAGGUUCCGGACUUGGUUCUCCAUCAAGUAAUUUCAACAGUGCUGUGUUUGGACCAUCAUCUCUGAAUUCUCUUCGUCAGUCUCCCAUGCAAACCAUUCAAGAGAACAAGCAAGCUACCUUUUCUUCCAUUUCUCAUUAUAACAACCAGACGCUGCAGGAUCUGCUGGCAUCUGACUCACUUAGUCACAGUGAUGUCAUGAUGACGCAGUCUGAUCCACUUAUGUCUCAAGCCAGCACAGCUGUGUCUGCCCAGAAUUCACGCAGGAGUAUCAUGCUUCGUAGUGAUCCAAUGAUGUCAUUUGCUGCUCAGUCCAACCAGGGAAGUUUGGUCAAUCAGAACCUGCUCCACCACCAGCAUCAAUCUCAGAAUUCUUCUCUUGGUGGCAGUCGUGCCUUGUCAAAUUCCAUCAGUAACAUGGGCUUAAAUGAUACGAACAACUUGGGGUCGGCCAAACACCAGCAGCAGUCACCUGUCAAUCAAUCUAUGCAAACACUUUCUGACUCGCUCUCAGGCUCUUCUUUGUAUUCCACUAGUGUGAACCUUCCAGUCAUGGGGCAUGAUAAAUUCCCAAGUGAUUUGGACCUGGAUAUUUUCAAUGGAAGCUUGGAAUGUGACAUGGAGUCCAUUAUCCGCAGUGAACUCAUGGAUGCAGAUGGGUUGGAUUUUAACUUCGAUUCCCUCAUCUCAGCUCAGAACGUUGUCAGUCUGAACGUGGGGAGCUUCACUGGUGCUAAGCAGGCUUCGUCACAGAGUUGGGUGCCAGGCUGAAGGAUCUUUGAGAAAAGGAGAAAUGGGCAAAGCAGCAUCGUGCCCUGCAACUGCAGAAUGCCGGUAGUGCUGAACAUGCAAGUUGAAAUCCUGACCCAAGUCAAUGGCAAAAGUCUCACUGAGUUCAGUGGUGCCAGGAUUUCACCCACGGUUGAUACCACUGCUCUCCCCGUGUGUAGGUCUGUGGGGGAAAGACAGAGUUCUGCCCAUCGAACGGUUACACACCACUGUGGAAAAAGUCCAGUGGCCCUCUUCGUUACUGUGGACUUCUGUGUGCAGAGGGCCAAAAUCAAAGCUAUCAUUAGCAAAGCUGCUACAUCUGCUUACACUGGUUCUGAAUUUAGUGCAGAAGGUGAUAGCUUCCAACACCACCAAUACCAAGGAAUUAAUGAAAAUGUGGGAGUAUGAGACCGAAAAGGGCCCUUAAACUGACAUGAGACCUAAAGAGAGAACCCUUUGCCAAAUCUGCUGUCAGCAAGUGGACAGUGAUACCGUUUACAGCUUAUGAUCUUUGUGAGCCCUGCAUUAUUUUCCUAAUGAAGCAGAGACUGUUAAUGGGCCCCUUACCCAAGCGAAGAGCCUCCUUUUUCGGAAUUGAACUCGUUCUAAAGUAUGCAAAAUCUUCCUUUUAUGGGAUGGUCAAGCACCUACUGUGGAGACAAUGUUCAGCACCAUCCUGUUGAGAACACACUGUGUAGCCUUUACAGUAGUUAUUUGUCAAUGAGUAUGUGGUGUUUCAAUAUAUUAAUGGUUUGUGGGUUAUUUUAAGUUGGCUUCUAUUUUGGGGGGGGGUCUCCAUCUCACCCCUCUAACCUUCAGUUUGUUUUGUUUUUUAAAGAUGUUUUAACCAUUUUCUCUUUCUCUCCUGGUGCAUCUGAAAUACAGUGUAUGCACAAUGAAAGGCUAUACUAAUUACCAUUACCCAACAUAGCUUCAGACAUCAGCACUACCUGAGUAUGUAGCAUUCAUUACACCAAGCAACUGACUGAAGUCCAGAGAGAGGUGGCUUGUGGGUUUUGUUUGUUUGUUGUCUUUUUUUUUCAAACCUUUUCUUCAAUUUAAUGGUACAUACCUUGUUUUUCAUAAACAGCAAACCAGAGUUGAUUACAUAACGAGAGAAACUAGCAAGGUUGCUAGUCCUGUCCAGUGUUUAUAAGGACUGAGUGAGAGUGCCAUUUCAUCAUAUUUACUGAUUCGGCACCUGAUUUGAUUUGAUCGAUCUCACGUAUUGCAUUAUGUUAGCACAGCUGCCCUAAUGGUUGCAGUGAAUAGAAUUAGUCUGCCUCAGCAGUUUGGAAACUGGUUGAUCUUAAAACAAGUAAUAAGAUAAGCUGUCCACCCAUUGCCAAACAAGUUGAAUGUAACCACUUGUGAGGAUAUGGUUUAAAAAGGAAAGGGAAGUAAAAUAUAUGACAUUGCAGAAAAGAUAACUUACAGUAUAUGCAUCAACAGUGACUUACAGUAGAGUCAUCAGAAGUUCAAAUGCAGAUCACUGCAGGGUAAGUUAUUACAUCAGUGAUUUUUUUUUACAUACAUAUCCUUGAUUAUUUUUUCCUUCUCACUAUGCGUAAUCCAAUCUGAAAGAAGCUGUAGAGGGAAAGGCAAGAAAGUAAUGCUAUACAAACAGCUUUUCAUAUAAGCUUAGAUUGUAAUUGGAUAAAUGACACUGAAAGACAAGGCAGUUUUUUAUGUUUUGCUUAUAUGGGUUUUCUUUUGUAAAAUGAAUAAUAAUGAAUAAAAGGUAUGGUGCUGCUGUAUAGAUUCUCUCUAUAAUCUGGAAAGCUUGAUUACUUUUUAUUACUAUUUUUUUGCGGGGGGAGGAAAAAAGAGGAGGAAACACCAAUGGUACAUAAGAACUUGGUAUGAAGACGCUCUGAAUAGGACAGUGUAUACAUACUUCUCCAAAGUGAUAUAUGAAGACUUUUUUCUUUGCAUAAAAGCAUUAUGCAUAUAAAUAUAUAAAUAUAUUUUAUUAUGUACAGAAAUGGAUCAUUAUGCAUGGAUGUUAGGAAAACAAGCUAGCAUUUUAACCCAAAGUUUCAGUGCAUGAGUUCCCACUGACAAAUGUACCAUGCAAUGUGGAGUGACUCCCUUUCACCGCUGCCACCACACAUACACACACACACACAAACUCACACGCACACAUUUGUGGGCCCCAUCUUGCUCCUUACUUUCCAGUUUCCUGAAGUAAUAUUGGUGAAAUAACAGCUCCUAGUGUGAUGGAAAUUUUGUUUUGUAUUGUAACCUCCUCAUGCUUGUGCUGUUCUGUUUUAUAGAUGAACCUGUUGAUUUCAUCCUGCCCUUUACUGAAUAUGUAAACUCUGUGCAGUUGUGAUUAUAGUAGACCCGUAGCAUAUCAAGCAGCUAAGAGUUUAUCAUUUUCAUUAGGUGAAACAACAUUUUUUUUAAAUUAAGGUGGUCUAUUUAUCAAUGGCAGGGACUAGUUUAUUGUUUUUUUCUUUAUCAUCAGAAUUAGUUGAUGAUGCACAUUACUGAUCUCCCCAGCUGAGAUGAUAUUUCGGGUAACCAGCUACCCAGUACGACAAUGGUGUACAGCAGUCAUCUGUUUUAGGGGUCAGUUCACUUACAGGAGUCCAGAUGCAGGCACCUUUUACCAAAGUUAGUAAAGAGCUUUACUGCAAGCCUUCACUGUACUCGGCGUGUAUAACAGUAUCUGUCAGGUUUUUGGUACAUCAUUAAAUGUGAAUUAAACUGAGGGUGUUUUUCUUUCUUUGUCUUCUGUGGUAUUGUGCUUGCUGAUUGACACUUUUCAAUCUUAAAGUCUCACUCUCUGAUUAAUAGGAGGGCUGUGCACAAGUACUCUGGUACAAAGCAGGCUUUGUGUUUAUUUCUGGUGUGACGUUUUGUUGAACUAUCUAUUGUCCACUGGAGGAUGGAAUACAUCGUGGCGCUGUCAUAGAGCAAGCAGCAGAUUCUCCCUUUCACAUGGUCUAAUUUAAGGCAGGUUACAAAUACAUAGGUAGGACAGGAUUCUGGUACUGAAUCUACCUACCGUAUAUAUUCACUGACUGCACCUUUUUUAUUUGGAUUUCUUGGAGAAAUAUUGGACCAAUCUGUCUGCUCACAUAACUUAAAUGGCAUAGUGCCAACAGAAAAUUUGGCCCACUUUAUAGAGCAGAAUAACAAAACAUAUUGGGUCAAAUUCUGCUCUCAAUUACAAUGAUGUAAAUCUGGAAUAACUGAUGGUAGUGAGUUACUCCAGAUUUACAGCACUGUCUCUCCGUGAUGCACAACCCAAGCACCCAGGCUCUGCUCUAGGGAUCUUCUUGGGAGCAGGAACAAGGAAUCCUCCUCUCCAGGCCACUCCAUAGCUGGUACUCCCAGCAUCAGAGCAGAAAUAGCCUUAGCACUGCCUUGCCUGUGUGCCCCUCCACAGCGGGGAAUGGCCAUCAGAUCCAUGUAGCAGCAGAUCCACCAACUGUGCCCCAUCCCCAAAUCCCUUCUGGGCAGUACAUACUGAGGUGAGCUCCACGUCUUCAGAUAUUCAACUCCUGCAGACUCACAUUGCAGCAGAACUGCCCCUCUUCUUCCACUGCAGGCAGAACCUGCUUGUACCCAUUUUGGAGGACAGGAUUUAUGCCAGUGACCAGGAUUUGCCCCAUCGUUCACAGUUGCACACAAGGAGAUAAGGCCCAGUGCUGCAGUCUUUACUCAGAUGAAAUCUCCCAUUAAAUGGGCUUGCCUGCAUAAGGAGUGCAGAUUGUGUUGUUAGAGUCCUUUGUUAACACCAACAAAGUUCUGUUUUGACGUUAUGACUACGGCAACAAAGACGAGUAAUUUUAUUUUUUCUUGGUACGGAACUAAUAUGUCUAAUGGAAGGGAAAGACUGCUUGUUUGAACAAACUGGGCUAAACUUUGUUACUGCAGUGUUAAUGCAGCGUGACUCCCAUGAGAUCAGUGGAGUUACGUCAGAUUUGCAAAAUAUGGUCCACUUUUUUUUAGAAAAUGAAGAAAUACCAGUCGGUUCAGAGACAUCCAAUCAAUGGCAGAGAAGUUAUAGAACCUUUCAAACAAAUCAAAAUCAAAGCUCAAGCAAAUAAGGGGCCUCCCACUGAAGUUAUUAUUCAGUGCUCCCACUGAAGUUAAUGACAAAACUCUCAUUGGCUUCCGCAGUGCAGUUUUGGCCUCCUAGUGUUAGGGGAAAAAACCUGCACUACCUGGGGAGGGAUGGACUAGAAAAACAUAGAGGUUUUUUCUCUCUCUAAUUUUGGCGGCCAACAUUUUCAAACUUAAAUAUGUGAAGUUAAGCACCUACGGCUGGAAUUUUCAAGGGGCAUAAGGGAGUUAGGUGCUCUGCUUUCAUUGUUUUUCAGUGGGAGUAGGGUGCCUCAUUCCUUGAGACCCCUUGGAAAAUCCCAGGCCUAAAUGUAUAUUUAGGCACAUAAAAAGGGCCCCAAUUUUCAGAGGUGCAGAAUAGUCACAUCUCUUAGAGCAUCCAACGGCAGCCAUGGGGACUGAGCACCUUUGCAAAUCAGAUCACUUAUUUAGGUGCCAAAGUAUGGAUUCAGGAAUUUUUGAAACUUUGGCCUUUGUUCCAGGAAUAUUUUUGAGCAUUAACACCCCCCCACACACACACACACAAAGAUCAUGCCCAACAGAUAAAGUCUCAGAACACAUGCACAGGUGAUUGUUUAAAUGUUGUGUUUUAAAACAUUCUAAAAAGGGUAAUGCUUAUGCAGUUUAGACAAGUCUGCUUUUAUUUAAUUUUCUUUGUGAAAUAUCUUCUCAUAUGAAUAGCUGGUUAAUAGGCCACUGCCUAACUCCAGAAAUAUUGUACUACUGCUUUACAAAGCUGAAUGUUGGGACAUACAUUGCUCUAAAAUUAUGUCAUUGCUUGGCAAUCAGGCUCCUAUAAUUGUUUUAGUACAUUAUGUACACUGGAAAUGUCAACACAUGUGCAGGAGGACCAGAUGCAUUUUGUUAAUAUGGGGGGGUGGAGGGGGGGGAAAUGAUUGUACGUUUUGGCUUCACAUGUUAAACUUUUUUUAAAAAAAAGUUGCAUGACUGGAAAAUAACCUGUAUACAGUAUCUGUAAACCUGUUUUAUCUGUUUUUGUUUCACCAUGUCAAGCCAUAUACAUUGGAAAAAUAUUAAAUCGACAGCCUUUAUGCAUGGCUGUCUUUACAUACUGAAGAACUGAAGAAUUAAUUUGGGCUUUCUUGCACUUUCAUGUUGCGUUCUUACUGAGGACUUUGUAAAUUAGUUGCUGCCCUGGAUGAAUAUACUACCUUACUACACAAAGAUUGGAAACAUGUUUGAUUUUAAAAUCUUCCCCUUUCCAAAUGAAGUAGAGAUGCAGUGCUUACUCCACUUGGUGUUAGUAGAUAUUGCCUUGUGUAUUCCUUUUUAAAUUGUAAUCUAGUUUGUAAAAGAGAUGGUGCCGCAUGUAAAUAAAGCAUAAUGGAUCUCUA